UGCAGUCGAACGGACCCUUCGGGGUUAGUGGCGGACGGGUGAGUAACACGUGGGAACGUGCCUUUAGGUUCGGAAUAGCUCCUGGAAACGGGUGGUAAUGCCGAAUGUGCCCUUCGGGGGAAAGAUUUAUCGCCUUUAGAGCGGCCCGCGUCUGAUUAGCUAGUUGGUGAGGUAAUGGCUCACCAAGGCGACGAUCAGUAGCUGGUCUGAGAGGAUGACCAGCCACAUUGGGACUGAGACACGGCCCAAACUCCUACGGGAGGCAGCAGUGGGGAAUCUUGCGCAAUGGGCGAAAGCCUGACGCAGCCAUGCCGCGUGAAUGAUGAAGGUCUUAGGAUUGUAAAAUUCUUUCACCGGGGACGAUAAUGACGGUACCCGGAGAAGAAGCCCCGGCUAACUUCGUGCCAGCAGCCGCGGUAAUACGAAGGGGGCUAGCGUUGCUCGGAAUUACUGGGCGUAAAGGGCGCGUAGGCGGACAUUUAAGUCAGGGGUGAAAUCCCAGAGCUCAACUCUGGAACUGCCUUUGAUACUGGGUGUCUUGAGUGUGAGAGAGGUAUGUGGAACUCCGAGUGUAGAGGUGAAAUUCGUA
RNAcentral lists this ribosomal RNA (589 nucleotides) under Brevundimonas bullata. Its description in RNAcentral is "bacterial SSU rRNA". It matches the Rfam family "Bacterial small subunit ribosomal RNA", at positions 56 to 692 of the family's 1533-position model. The record is from RNAcentral. Lineage: Bacteria; Pseudomonadati; Pseudomonadota; Alphaproteobacteria; Caulobacterales; Caulobacteraceae.